CCUACGGGAGGCAGCAGUGGGGGAUAUUGGACAAUGGGGGGAACCCUGAUCCAGCGACGCCGCGUGAGUGAAGAAGUAUUUCGGUAUGUAAAGCUCUGUCAGCAGGGAAGAAAGCAAUGACGGUACCUGACCAAGAAGCCCCGGCUAACUACGUGCCAGCAGCCGCGGGAAUACGUAGGGGGCAAGCGUUAUCCGGAAUUACUGGGUGUAAAGGGCGCGUAGACGGCUGUGCAAGUCUGGGAGGAAAGGCGGGGGCCCAACCCCCGGACUGCUCUGGAUACUGUAUGGCUGGAGUGAAGGAGAGGUAAGCGGAAUUCCUAGUGAAGCGGUGAAAUGCGUAGAUAUUAGGAGGAACAUCAGUGGCGAAGGCGACUAUCUGGCACAUAACUGACGCUGAGGAGCGAAAGCGUGGGUAGCAAACAGGAUUAGAUACCCGAGUAGUC
This 443-nucleotide ribosomal RNA is filed under the name uncultured bacterium. Its description in RNAcentral is "partial 16S ribosomal RNA". It matches the Rfam family "Bacterial small subunit ribosomal RNA", at positions 338 to 795 of the family's 1533-position model. The record is from RNAcentral.